RNAcentral lists this ribosomal RNA (497 nucleotides) under uncultured bacterium. RNAcentral's name for it is "partial 16S ribosomal RNA". It matches the Rfam family "Bacterial small subunit ribosomal RNA", at positions 28 to 507 of the family's 1533-position model. The record is from RNAcentral.
GAUGAACGCUGGCGGCGUGCCUAAUACAUGCAAGUCGAGCGAACGGACGAGAAGCUUGCUUCUCUGAUGUUAGCGGCGGACGGGUGAGUAACACGUGGAUAACCUACCUAUAAGACUGGGAUAACUUCGGGAAACCGGAGCUAAUACCGGAUGAUAUUUUGAACCGCAUGGUUCAAAAGUGAAAGACGGUCUUGCUGUCACUUAUAGAUGGAUCCGCGCUGCAUUAGCUAGUUGGUAAGGUAACGGCUUACCAAGGCAACGAUGCAUAGCCGACCUGAGAGGGUGAUAGGCCACACUGGAGCUGAGACACGGUCCAGACUCCUACGGGAGGCAGCAGUAGGGAAUCUUCCGCAAUGGGCGAAAGCCUGACGGAGCAACGGCGCGUGAGUGAUGAAGGUCUUCGGAUCGUAAAACUCUGUUAUUAGGGAAGAACAGAUGUGUAAGUAACUGUGCACAUCUUGACGGUACCUAAUCAGAAAGCCACGGCUAACUACGUG